RNAcentral lists this ribosomal RNA (715 nucleotides) under uncultured bacterium. RNAcentral's name for it is "bacterial SSU rRNA". It matches the Rfam family "Bacterial small subunit ribosomal RNA", at positions 8 to 679 of the family's 1533-position model. The record is from RNAcentral.
AGAGUUUGAUCAUGGCUCAGGAUAAACGCCGGCGGUGUGCCUAAUACAUGCAAGUCGUACGCACUGGCCCAACUGAUAGAUGGUGCUUGCAUCUGAUUGACGAUGGAUCACCAGUGAGUGGCGGACGGGUGAGUAACACGUAGGUAACCUGCCCCGGAGCGGGGGAUAACAUUUGGAAACAGAUGAUAAUACCGCAUAACAACAAAAGCCGCAUGGCUUUUGUUUGAAAGAUGGCUUUGGCUAUCACUCUGGGAUGGACCUGCGGUGCAUUAGCUAGUUGGUAAGGUAGAGGCUUACCAAGGCGAUGAUGCAUAGCCGAGUUGAGAGACUGAUCGGCCACAAUGGAACUGAGACACGGUCCAUACUCCUACGGGAGGCAGCAGUAGGGAAUCUUCCACAAUGGGCGCAAGCCUGAUGGAGCAACACCGCGUGAGUGAAGAAGGGUUUCGGCUCGUAAAGCUCUGUUGUUGGAGAAGAACGUGCGUGAGAGUAACUGUUCACGCAGUGACGGUAUCCAACCAGAAAGUCACGGCUAACUACGUGCCAGCAGCCGCGGUAAUACGUAGGUGGCAAGCGUUAUCCGGAUUUAUUGGGCGUAAAGCGAGCGCAGGCGGUUGCUUAGGUCUGAUGUGAAAGCCUUCGGCUUAACCGAAGAAGUGCAUCGGAAACCGGGCGACUUGAGUGCAGAGGAGGACAGUGGAACUCCAUGUGUAGC